Molecule: ribosomal RNA, 497 nt
Filed under: uncultured bacterium
Lineage: Bacteria
Description: partial 16S ribosomal RNA
Rfam family: Bacterial small subunit ribosomal RNA
Source: RNAcentral
GAUGAACGCUGGCGGCGUGCCUAAUACAUGCGAGUCGAGCGAACAGACGAGGAGCUUGCUCCUCUGACGUUAGCGGCGGACGGGUGAGUAACACGUGGAUAACCUACCUAUAAGACUGGGAUAACUUCGGGAAACCGGAGCUAAUACCGGAUAAUAUAUUGAACGGCAGGGUUAAUAAGUGAAGGAGGGUUUUGCUGUAACUAAUGAAUGGAUCCGCGCCGCAUUAGCUAGUUGGUAAGGUAACGGCUUACCAAGGCAACGAUGCGUAGCCGACCUGAGAGGGUGAUCGGCCACACUGGAACUGAGACACGGUCCAGACUCCUACGGGAGGCAGCAGUAGGGAAUCUUCCGCAAUGGGCGAAAGCUUGACGGAGCAACGCCGCGUGAGUGAUGAAGGUCUUCGGAUCGUAAAACUCUGUUAUUAGGGAAGAACAAAUGUGUAAGUAACUAUGCACGUCUUGACGGUACCUAAUCAGAAAGCCACGGCUAACUACGUG